UACGUAGGGGGCUAGCGUUGUCCGGAUUUAUUGGGCGUAAAGAGCGUGUAGGCGGCCAGGUAGGUCUGCUGUGAAAACUCGAGGCUCAACCUCGAGACGUCGGCGGAAACCAUCUGGCUAGAGUCCGGAAGAGGAGAGUGGAAUUCCUGGUGUAGCGGUGAAAUGCGCAGAUAUCAGGAAGAACACCUAUGGCGAAAGCAGCUCUCUGGGACGGUACUGACGCUGAGACGCGAAAGCGUGGGGAGCGAACAGG
Molecule: ribosomal RNA, 253 nt
Filed under: uncultured bacterium
Lineage: Bacteria
Description: partial 16S ribosomal RNA
Rfam family: Bacterial small subunit ribosomal RNA
Source: RNAcentral